AUACGGAGGAUCCGAGCGUUAUCCGGAUUUAUUGGGUUUAAAGGGUGCGCAGGCGGCCAUUUAAGUCAGCGGUUAAAUCGUGGGGCUCAACCCCAUUCUGCCGUUGAUACUGGGUGGCUUGAUUGCGGUCGAGGUUGGCGGAAUUCGUUGUGUAGCGGUGAAAUGCAUAGAUAUGACGAAGAACACCGAUUGCGUAGGCAGCUGACCAGACCGCAAAUGACGCUCAUGCACGAAAGUGCGGGGAUCGAACAGGAUUAGAUACCCUGGUAGUCCGCACAGUAAACGAUGAAUACUUGUUUUCGGCGAUAUAAUGUCGGAGGCAAAGCGAAAGCGAUAAGUAUUCCACCUGGGGAGUACGCCGGCAACGGUGAAACUCAAAUGAAUUGACGG
RNAcentral lists this ribosomal RNA (390 nucleotides) under uncultured bacterium. Its description in RNAcentral is "partial 16S ribosomal RNA". It matches the Rfam family "Bacterial small subunit ribosomal RNA", at positions 523 to 916 of the family's 1533-position model. The record is from RNAcentral.